UGACUNGAGUGCAGAAGGGGAGAGUGGAAUUCCAUGUGUAGCGGUGAAAUGCGUAGAUAUAUGGAGGAACACCAGUGGCGAAAGCGGCUCUCUGGUCUGUCACUGACGCUGAGGCUCGAAAGCGUGGGUAGCGAACAGGAUUAGAUACCCUGGUAGUCCACGCCGUAAACGAUGAGUGCUAGGUGUUAGGCCCUUUCCGGGGCUUAGUGCCGGAGCUAACGCAAUAAGCACUCCGCCUGGGGAGUACGACCGCAAGGUUGAAACUCAAAGGAAUUGACGGGGGCCCGCACAAGCGGUGGAGCAUGUGGUUUAAUUCGAAGCAACGCGAAGAACCUUACCAGGUCUUGACAUCCCGAUGCUAUUCUUAGAGAUAGGAAGUUACUUCGGUACAUCGGAGACAGGUGGUGCAUGGUUGUCGUCAGCUCGUGUCGUGAGAUGUUGGGUUAAGUCCCGCAACGAGCGCAACCCUUAUUGUUAGUUGCCAUCAUUAAGUUGGGCACUCUAGCGAGACUGCCGGUAAUAAACCGGAGGAAGGUGGGGAUGACGUCAAAUCAUCAUGCCCCUUAUGACCUGGGCUACACACGUGCUACAAUGGUCGGUACAACGAGUUGCGAGCCGGUGACGGCAAGCUAAUCUCUGAAAGCCGAUCUCAGUUCGGAUUGGAGGCUGCAACUCGCCUCCAUGAAGUCGGAAUCGCUAGUAAUCGCGGAUCAGCACGCCGCGGUGAAUACGUUCCCGGGCCUUGUACACACCGCCCGUCACACCACGAGAGUUUGUAACACCCGAAGUCGGUGAGGUAACCUUUUAGGGGCCA
Molecule: ribosomal RNA, 814 nt
Filed under: uncultured bacterium
Lineage: Bacteria
Description: bacterial SSU rRNA
Rfam family: Bacterial small subunit ribosomal RNA
Source: RNAcentral